AAUAGAUACCCUGGUAGUCCACGCCGUAAACGAUGGAUACUAGCUGUUUGAGCGCAAGUUUGAGUGGCUAAGCGAAAGUGAUAAGUAUCCCACCUGGGGAGUACGGGCGCAAGCCUGAAACUCAAAGGAAUUGACGGGGGCCCGCACAAGCGGUGGAGCAUGUGGUUUAAUUCGAUGAUACGCGAGGAACCUUACCAGGGCUUAAAUGUAGAUUGACGUAUUUGGAAACAGAUAUUUCUUCGGACAAUUUACAAGGUGCUGCAUGGUUGUCGUCAGCUCGUGCCGUGAGGUGUCAGGUUAAGUCCUAUAACGAGCGCAACCCCUGUUGUUAGUUGCCAGCGAGUAAUGUCGGGAACUCUAGCAAGACUGCCAGUGUAAACUGUGAGGAAGUGGGGAUGACGUCAAAUCAUCACGGCCCUUAGUCCUGGGCCACACACGUGCUACAAUGGCCGGUACAGAGAGCAGCCACUUAGCGAUAAGGAGCGAAUCUAUAAAGCCGGUCACAGUUCGGAUCGGAGU
This 519-nucleotide ribosomal RNA is filed under the name uncultured bacterium. RNAcentral's name for it is "bacterial SSU rRNA". It matches the Rfam family "Bacterial small subunit ribosomal RNA", at positions 777 to 1304 of the family's 1533-position model. The record is from RNAcentral.